CCUACGGGAGGCAGCAGUGAGGAAUAUUGGUCAAUGGGCGAGAGCCUGAACCAGCCAAGUAGCGUGCGGGAUGACGGUCCUACGGGUUGUAAACCUCUUUUGUCAGGGAACAAGACGCUCCACGUGUGGUGCGGCGCAGGUACCUGACGAAUAAGGAUCGGCUAACUCCGUGCCAGCAGCCGCGGUAAUACGGAGGAUCCGAGCGUUAUCCGGAUUUAUUGGGUUUAAAGGGAGCGCAGGCGGCCCUUAAAGUGAGUGGUAAAAUCCCGGGGCUCAACCGGGCCCCGCAGGUGAAACUGGGGGCCUUGAGUGCGCAGGAGGCAGGCGGAAUUCGUGGUGUAGCGGUGAAAUGCAUAGAUAUCACGAAGAACCCCGAUUGCGAAGGCAGCCUGCCGGAGCGCGACUGACGCUGAGGCUCGAAGGUGCGGGUAUCGAACAGGAUUAGAUACCCGUGUAGUC
Molecule: ribosomal RNA, 459 nt
Filed under: uncultured bacterium
Lineage: Bacteria
Description: partial 16S ribosomal RNA
Rfam family: Bacterial small subunit ribosomal RNA
Source: RNAcentral